CCUACGGGAGGCUGCAGUGGGGAAUAUUGCACAAUGGGGGAAACCCUGAUGCAGCGACGCCGCCUGAGUGAAGAAGUAAUUCGUUAUGUAAAGCUCUAUCAGCAGGGAAGAAAAUGACGGUAUCUGUGUAAGAAGCCCCGGCUAACAAUGUGCCAGCAGCGGCGGUAAUACGUAGGGGGCAAGCGUUAUCCGGAUGUACUGGGUGUAAAGGGAGCGUAGACGGCAGUGCAAGCCUGGAGUGAAAGGCCGGGGCUCAACCCCCGGACUGCACUGGAAACUGUACGGCUGGAGUGCAGGAGAGGUAAGUGGAAUUCCUAGUGUAGCGGUGAAAUGCGUAGAUAUUAGGAGGAACACCAGUGGCGAAGGCGGCUUACUGGACUGUAACUGACGUUGAGGCUCGAAAGCGUGGGGAGCAAACAGGAUUAGAUACCCGUGUAGUC
Molecule: ribosomal RNA, 440 nt
Filed under: uncultured bacterium
Lineage: Bacteria
Description: partial 16S ribosomal RNA
Rfam family: Bacterial small subunit ribosomal RNA
Source: RNAcentral